Molecule: ribosomal RNA, 517 nt
Filed under: fungal sp. L24
Lineage: Eukaryota; Fungi
Description: eukaryotic LSU rRNA
Rfam family: 5.8S ribosomal RNA (bases 166-319)
Source: RNAcentral
GGCUGCUCGCAGCCCGACCUCUCACCCCCAUGUGUACCUUGAAUCUGUUGCUUUGGCGGGUUGGCGCGGUCGCCACCGCGCGCGCCCGCCGGAGAAAGUCUGCCUCGGCGGGCUGUCUACAAUACUGUUGCAUGAGAGCGUCUGAGUCGCGAGGAAAUACGCAAAAACUUUCAACAACGGAUCUCUUGGUUCCGGCAUCGAUGAAGAACGCAGCGAAACGCGAUAGCUAGUGUGAAUUGCAGAUUUUCGUGAAUCAUCGAGUCUUUGAACGCACAUUGCGCCCCCUGGUAUUCCGGGGGGCAUGCCUAUUCGAGCGUCGUGGUCACGCUUCAAGCCCGGCUUGAUGAUGGGGAACGCCCUCUCUCGGGGGGGCCUCCUUCAAAUGCAACUCCAGACGCCUCGUUGGCUGGGAGCGCAGCAGCAGUGCGCUUCCCCGAGGCGACCGGAUGCCCCUCGUGGGCUCGAGAUUGCUAGACCUCGAAUUAGGCAGGGAUACCCGCUGAACUUAAGCAUAUCA